Molecule: ribosomal RNA, 465 nt
Filed under: uncultured Klebsiella sp.
Lineage: Bacteria; Pseudomonadati; Pseudomonadota; Gammaproteobacteria; Enterobacterales; Enterobacteriaceae
Description: bacterial SSU rRNA
Rfam family: Bacterial small subunit ribosomal RNA
Source: RNAcentral
CCUACGGGCGGCAGCAGUGGGGAAUAUUGCACAAUGGGCGCAAGCCUGAUGCAGCCAUGCCGCGUGUGUGAAGAAGGCCUUCGGGUUGUAAAGCACUUUCAGCGGGGAGGAAGGCGUUAAGGUUAAUAACCUUGGCGAUUGACGUUACCCGCAGAAGAAGCACCGGCUAACUCCGUGCCAGCAGCCGCGGUAAUACGGAAGGUGCAAGCGUUAAUCGGAAUUACUGGGCGUAAAGCGCACGCAGGCGGUCUGUCAAGUCGGAUGUGAAAUCCCCGGGCUCAACCUGGGAACUGCAUUCGAAACUGGCAGGCUAGAGUCUUGUAGAGGGGGGUAGAAUUCCAGGUGUAGCGGUGAAAUGCGUAGAGAUCUGGAGGAAUACCGGUGGCGAAGGCGGCCCCCUGGACAAAGACUGACGCUCAGGUGCGAAAGCGUGGGGAGCAAACAGGAUUAGAUACCCCGGUAGUC